GGGCCCGCACAAGCGGUGGAGCAUGUGGCUUAAUUCGAGGCAACGCGAAGAACCUUACCUGGUCUUGACAUGCCCGUCAUAGUUUUCCGAAAGGAAUUCGUCAGUUAGGCUGGACGGUGCACAGGUGCUGCAUGGCUGUCGUCAGCUCGUGUCGUGAGAUGUUCGGUUAAGUCCGGCAACGAGCGCAACCCUCGUUCCUAGUUGCCAGCGGGUAAUGCCGGGGACUCUAGGAAGACAAACCUCGUGUAGAGGUGGGAAGGUGGGGACGACGUCAAGUCAGUAUGGCCCUUACGACCAGGGCUGCACACGUGCUACAAUGCCCAGCACAAUGGGAUGCAACACCGCGAGGUUGAGCAAAUCCACAAAACUGGGCCCAGUUCGGAUUGGAGUCUGCAACUCGACUCCAUGAAGUUGGAAUCGCUAGUAAUCGCAGUU
Molecule: ribosomal RNA, 435 nt
Filed under: uncultured bacterium
Lineage: Bacteria
Description: bacterial SSU rRNA
Rfam family: Bacterial small subunit ribosomal RNA
Source: RNAcentral